GCUUAGCCCCUAACAAAGGUGUACCCCCCACACAAUUACACCCGCCAGAAGAUUACGAGCCCACUUAAAACUCAAAGGACUUGACGGUACUUCGAACCCACCUAGAGGAGCCUGUCCUAUAAUUGAAGAUACACGAUUCACCUAACCCCUCCUUGCCUCUCAGUCUGUAUACCGCCGUCGCCAAACUCGUCCCACUGAGGGAAACAAAACAAGUGCAACAGCCUCCCAGGCUAAUACGUCAGGUCAAGGUGCAGCUAAUGGAGCGGAAGAGAUGUGCUACAUUUUCUAAAAUAGAAAUACGUAACAGAACGCCCUCUGAAAACAGGGCUGUCAAAGCAGAAUCUAGCAGUAAGUUAGGAAAGAGCGCCUAACUGAAGAAGGCCCCGAAGUACGUACACACCGCCCGUCACCCUCA
Molecule: ribosomal RNA, 415 nt
Filed under: Paleosuchus palpebrosus (Cuvier's dwarf caiman)
Lineage: Eukaryota; Metazoa; Chordata; Crocodylia; Alligatoridae
Description: partial 12S ribosomal RNA
Rfam family: Bacterial small subunit ribosomal RNA
Source: RNAcentral